This 1094-nucleotide long non-coding RNA is filed under the name Mus caroli (Ryukyu mouse). RNAcentral's name for it is "predicted gene, 26542 (MGP_CAROLIEiJ_G0004735.1)". Lineage: Eukaryota; Metazoa; Chordata; Mammalia; Rodentia; Muridae. The record is from RNAcentral.
AGAGUUACCUGAGCUGCGCUGAGCGCGCGUAUCCCUGGAAAUAGCGGAGGCGCGCGAACAGGUAGAACAGUCCGCACAGGGCUGCGGCUCCUGCGAGAGGCGAGGCGAGGCGGCGCGGUGAGCACGAGUUCCCGCCAUCCGGGAUCUCCCCCACCCCCGAAGUGUGCCCCCACGCUGUCCCGCACCUUCGUGGAAGAAGAUGCCGGCGACCCAGAGUGUGGCGAGGAACAGCGGAAAGUACUCGCUGCAGUUUACCCUGCGAGGGGUAGGCUGGGUGAGCGCGUGGCCCGCCUUGGCUGACACCCGAACCCGCCCGGACCCGCCGCGCUCACUGGGCUCGGAAGAUGCGCUCGAACUCGGGAGGGCCAGAGCUCCCUGCAAAGCUUUACACUUGGGCUGUCAAGAUGGCUCAGCUAGUCUUCCACCACAUCUGAUGACAUGAUUAUAAUCCCUGGGACCCACUUGGGGAAGCCAACUCCAGCAAGUUAAUCUUCUAGUCUCCACAGGCAUGCUGUGGCAUACAUCUACCGACAUCCACAUAUUAUUUUAAAAUGUAGUGAGAAAAAUUCAAAGUUGUGCUAUCCAAGUUGAAAUCCUACAUCAUCAAGGCCUCUUUUCCCCUCUAAAGGAGCCACUGAAAUGGAAACCCCACUGCUUCCUUAGAGAGACUUCUCUUGUAGGCCCAAUCCCGGGUUGAACAGCUCAGCGAGCAUCACACCAGUGAGAAGGCCCUUCCUCUGUAGAGAAAUCAAGAACACUACCCACUCUGAAGUUUACACUCACAAGACCCUCACAUCAAGCUUUAAUAGGGUAGCAUCAACCUGACAUGGCAAAUCUAUCUGGUCAGGGCUUCACACUCAAAGGACUUACUGACAAGUCAGACUCAGGUCGCUUUUUAAAGCUAAGCUCGGUGGUGUACAUCUUUAAUCUCAGCACUUGGGAAGUAGGAACAAGCGGAUCUCUGAAUUUGAGGCCAGCCUGGUCUAUAGAGCAAGUUCCAGAACAGCCAGGACUACACACACACACACACACACACACACACACACACACACAGUGUGCCCCCCAAAAAUAAAUAAAUAAAAGUUUUGAUUUUC